CCUACGGGUGGCAGCAGUGGGGAAUAUUGGACAAUGGGCGAAAGCCUGAUCCAGCCAUGCCGCGUGUGUGAAGAAGGCCUACGGGUUGUAAAGCACUUUCAGUGGGGAAGAAAGCCUUGGGGCUAAUACCCUCGAGGAAGGACAUCACCCACAGAAGAAGCACCGGCUAACUCCGUGCCAGCAGCCGCGGUAAUACGGAGGGUGCGAGCGUUAAUCGGAAUUACUGGGCGUAAAGCGCGCGUAGGCGGUCUGAUAAGCCGGUUGUGAAAGCCCCGGGCUCAACCUGGGAACGGCAUCCGGAACUGUCAGGCUAGAGUGCAGGAGAGGAAGGUAGAAUUCCCGGUGUAGCGGUGAAAUGCGUAGAGAUCGGGAGGAAUACCAGUGGCGAAGGCGGCCUUCUGGACUGACACUGACGCUGAGGUGCGAAAGCGUGGGUAGCAAACAGGAUUAGAUACCCGAGUAGUC
This 465-nucleotide ribosomal RNA is filed under the name Vreelandella stevensii. RNAcentral's name for it is "partial 16S ribosomal RNA". It matches the Rfam family "Bacterial small subunit ribosomal RNA", at positions 338 to 795 of the family's 1533-position model. The record is from RNAcentral. Lineage: Bacteria; Pseudomonadati; Pseudomonadota; Gammaproteobacteria; Oceanospirillales; Halomonadaceae.